UCGGGGGGGGGGGUAACCCCGGAAACUGGGGAUAAUACCUCAUAGACCAGGGAUGCUGGAAUGCUUCCUGGUCCAAAGGUCCGCCGCCUCAGGAUGGGUCUGCGGCCGAUUAGGUUGUUGUUGGGGUAACGGCCCAACAAGCCUUUGAUCGGUACGGGUUGUGGGAGCAAGAGCCCGGAGAUGGAUUCUGAGACACGAAUCCAGGCCCUACGGGGCGCAGCAGGCGCGAAAACUUUACAAUGCGAGAAAUCGUGAUAAGGGAACCCCGAGUGCCCGUAAAUCCGGGCUGUCCACCAGUGUAAAUAACUGGUGAAGAAAGGGCCGGGCAAGACCGGUGCCAGCCGCCGCGGUAAUACCGGCGGCUCGAGUGGUGGCCGCUAUUACUGGGCUUAAAGCGUUCGUAGCUGGGCUGUUAAGUCCCCUGGGAAAUCCACCGGCUCAACCGAUGGGCGUUCAGGGGAUACUGGCAGCCUAGGGACCGGGAGAGGUGAGGGGUACUCCAGGGGUAGGAGUGAAAUCCUGUAAUCCUUGGGGGACCACCUGUGGCGAAGGCGUCUCACUAGAACGGCUCCGACAGUGAGGAACGAAAGCUGGGGGAGCAAACCGGAUUAGAUACCCGGGUAGUCCCAGCUGUAAACGAUGCGCGUUAGGUGUAUCGGUGACCACGAGUCACCGAGGUGCCGAAGAGAAAUCGUGAAACGUGCCGCCUGGGAAGUACGGUCGCAAGGCUGAAACUUAAAGGAAUUGGCGGGGGAGCAC
This 759-nucleotide ribosomal RNA is filed under the name uncultured archaeon. RNAcentral's name for it is "bacterial SSU rRNA". It matches the Rfam family "Archaeal small subunit ribosomal RNA", at positions 114 to 879 of the family's 1478-position model. The record is from RNAcentral.